UACGUAGGGUGCGAGCGUUGUCCGGAAUUAUUGGGCGUAAAGAGCUCGUAGGCGGCUUGUCGCGUCGGAUGUGAAAGCCCGGGGCUUAACCCCGGGUCUGCAUUCGAUACGGGCAGGCUAGAGUUCGGUAGGGGAGAUCGGAAUUCCUGGUGUAGCGGUGAAAUGCGCAGAUAUCAGGAGGAACACCAAUGGCGAAGGCAGCUCGCUGGGACGGUACUGACGCUGAGGAGCGAAAGCGUGGGGAGCGAACAG
This 252-nucleotide ribosomal RNA is filed under the name uncultured bacterium. RNAcentral's name for it is "partial 16S ribosomal RNA". It matches the Rfam family "Bacterial small subunit ribosomal RNA", at positions 524 to 775 of the family's 1533-position model. The record is from RNAcentral.